This 689-nucleotide long non-coding RNA is filed under the name Coturnix japonica (Japanese quail). RNAcentral's name for it is "lncRNA (ENSCJPG00005003769.1)". Lineage: Eukaryota; Metazoa; Chordata; Aves; Galliformes; Phasianidae. The record is from RNAcentral.
CUCAAAGAGAAUGAAAGCAUAAAUUCUUGUGGCCUCUUCCAAAUCACUCUGAAAGUAAUGGAAGGACUGUUAGUUCAAGAAAUUAGAUCUCAAAAGGAUAACUACCAAUUUUAAGAGCAGCUGGAGGAGCAAAUGCUUCUUUCUGUUCAUUCUGAAGAUGAAAACCAGGUGGUAUGGAGUGUGCUAAGGCAACCACCGGCAGUGCCUGGAAGAGCAACAUAGCAUCGAUGCGAGAAGGUCAGAUGUUGGGGCAAAAUUUCCUGGGGCUUCACAUCCACGAGAUGGUGCCACAGCAUCACUGGAUGGGCAGAGGAAACAGCUUUGAGGAUGUCUACCCAGGGCUGAGGUGUCACCUCUGAAUUAAGUCCACAAAGAACAAACCAAUUCUGAACAUACUGCUGUAAAUCCUUGUGGGACACAGUAUGGGAGCCCUUCCAGGAUGUGACCUUUAGAUAUUGACAGAGGAGUUGUAUAUGCAUAUAUUCUCAUAUGGUAAGUUAUAUAUUGACCAUAAUGACAAUCUGAGCAGUUUCAUUCUUAGGUAUUUGUAUGGCAUCACAAUAUAAUUAGUCUUCCAUAACACAUAAUCUUUGGGUUAAUUCUUUUGUUUUUCUAGAGCCUUAAACACUGUAUUGCAUUUUGAUAAAGACAUUACACCAUUUAAAACCAGUAUAUUAUAGUAUCUUCCA